GGACUACAGGGGUAUCUAAUCCCGUUCGCUCCCCACGCUUUCGUGCCUCAGCGUCAGAAUCGGCCCAGCUGCCUGUCUUCACCAUCGGCGUUCCUCUAGAUAUCUACGCAUUUCACCGCUCCACCUAGAGUUCCAGCAGCCUCUACCGACCUCAAGAUCCGCAGUAUGCCAAGCCAUUCCAUGGUUAAGCCAUGGGAUUUCACAAAGCACUUGCGGAUCCGCCUACGCACCCUUUAAGCCCAGUGACUCCGAUUAACGCUCGAGACCUCUGUAUUACCGCGGCUGCUGGCAC
RNAcentral lists this ribosomal RNA (292 nucleotides) under uncultured bacterium. Its description in RNAcentral is "partial 16S ribosomal RNA". The record is from RNAcentral. RNAcentral also lists the same sequence under 1 other name.